UACGAAGGGGGCUAGCGUUGCUCGGAAUCACUGGGCGUAAAGCGCACGUAGGCGGCUUUCUAAGUCAGGGGUGAAAUUCUGGAGCUCAACUCCAGAACUGCCUUUGAUACUGGGAAGCUCGAGUCCGGAAGAGGUGAGUGGAACUCCGAGUGUAGAGGUGAAAUUCGUAGAUAUUCGGAAGAACACCAGUGGCGAAGGCGGCUCACUGGUCCGGUACUGACGCUGAGGUGCGAAAGCGUGGGGAGCAAACAGG
This 253-nucleotide ribosomal RNA is filed under the name uncultured bacterium. RNAcentral describes it as "partial 16S ribosomal RNA". It matches the Rfam family "Bacterial small subunit ribosomal RNA", at positions 524 to 776 of the family's 1533-position model. The record is from RNAcentral.